Long non-coding RNA from Sinocyclocheilus rhinocerous, 343 nucleotides. RefSeq lists it as uncharacterized. The transcript is spliced from 4 exons. NCBI's taxonomy places the organism in Eukaryota, Metazoa, Chordata, Actinopteri, Cypriniformes, Cyprinidae. The record is from RefSeq and is a predicted model, not a curated record.
CUGAAGAGAACACUUGAAAACAGCCUUUUGAAGUAGUGAACAUAUUUUACACAGUGUGGCUCAUAAAAUGUGAAAAAAUGAAUAUCAAAUAGAAUGUCUGUUUGCUACAUUAACACAUUAAUUUAUACAUAAUGCACACAAAACUGGCAAGACGUGACUGAAAUAAGCCAUUUCAAUCUGAUUGACCGACUCUAUGCAACUUCCAGGAGUUGGAGGAUGCUUGAGUCCACCUGCAAAUGAAAUUAAUGAACUCUUUUGAGGAAGAACUAAUCGCUGGAUUUGACAAUAUUCACCAGACAGACUGAAAUGGAUAUACAAUAGUUUGUGACCGAUCGUGUGACAC